GACGAACGCUGGCGGCGUGCCUAAUACAUGUAAGUUGAGCGCUGAAGGUUGGUACUUGUACCGACUGGAUGAGCAGCGAACGGGUGAGUAACGCGUGGGGAAUCUGCCUUUGAGCGGGGGACAACAUUUGGAAACGAAUGCUAAUACCGCAUAAAAACUUUAAACACAAGUUUUAAGUUUGAAAGAUGCAAUUGCAUCACUCAAAGAUGAUCCCGCGUUGUAUUAGCUAGUUGGUGAGGUAAAGGCUCACCAAGGCGAUGAUACAUAGCCGACCUGAGAGGGUGAUCGGCCACAGUGGGACUGAGACACGGCCCAAACUCCUACGGGAGGCAGCAGUAGGGAAUCUUCGGCAAUGGACGAAAGUCUGACCGAGCAACGCCGCGUGAGUGAAGAAGGUUUUCGGAUCGUAAAACUCUGUUGGUAGAGAAGAACGUUGGUGAGAGUGGAAAGCUCAUCAAGUGACGGUAACUACCCAGAAAGGGACGGCUAACUACGUGCCAGCCGCCGCAGUAA
RNAcentral lists this ribosomal RNA (513 nucleotides) under uncultured bacterium. RNAcentral's name for it is "partial 16S ribosomal RNA". It matches the Rfam family "Bacterial small subunit ribosomal RNA", at positions 28 to 523 of the family's 1533-position model. The record is from RNAcentral.